GACGAACCGUGCGAACGUUGUUCGGAUUCACUGGGCUUAAAGGGCGCGUAGGCGGAUGGUCAAGUCGGGGGUGAAAUCUUUCAGCUUAACUGGAAAAGUGCCUCCGAUACUGAUCGUCUCGAGGGAGGUAGGGGCAUGUGGAACUUCCGGUGGAGCGGUGAAAUGCGUAGAUAUCGGAAGGAACGCCGGUGGCGAAAGCGACGUGCUGGACCUCUUCUGACGCUGAGGCGCGAAAGCUAGGGGAGCAAACGGG
This 253-nucleotide ribosomal RNA is filed under the name Gemmata sp. RNAcentral describes it as "partial 16S ribosomal RNA". It matches the Rfam family "Bacterial small subunit ribosomal RNA", at positions 524 to 776 of the family's 1533-position model. RNAcentral also lists the same sequence under 1 other name. The record is from RNAcentral. Lineage: Bacteria; Pseudomonadati; Planctomycetota; Planctomycetia; Gemmatales; Gemmataceae.